Molecule: ribosomal RNA, 398 nt
Filed under: uncultured bacterium
Lineage: Bacteria
Description: bacterial SSU rRNA
Rfam family: Bacterial small subunit ribosomal RNA
Source: RNAcentral
GACGAACGCUGGCGGCGUGCCUAACACAUGCAAGUCGAACGGGACCAGGGGGCAACUCUGGUUCAGUGGCGGACGGGUGCGUAACACGUGAGGAACAUGACCUUCGGCGGGGGAUAGCCGGCCCAACGGCCGGGUAAUACCGCGUACGACCAUUUAGGGACAUCCCUGGGUGGUGAAAGCAGCAAUGCGCCGAAGGAGUGCCUCGCGGCCUAUCAGCUAGUUGGUGAGGUAACGGCNCACCAAGGCGACGACGGUAGCUGGUCUGAGAGGAUGGCCAGCCACAUUGGGACUGAGACACGGCCCACGACUCCUACGGGAGGCAGCAGUGGGGAACAUUGCGCAAUGGACGAAAGUCUGACGCAGCGACGCCGCGUGUGGGGUGACGGUCUUCGGAUUGU